Molecule: ribosomal RNA, 242 nt
Filed under: uncultured bacterium
Lineage: Bacteria
Description: partial 16S ribosomal RNA
Rfam family: Bacterial small subunit ribosomal RNA
Source: RNAcentral
GACGAACGCUGGCGGCGUGCUUAACACAUGCAAGUCGAGCGGUAAGGCCCUUUCGGGGUACGACGAGCGGCGAACGGGUAGAGUAACACGUGGGUGACCUCGCCCUCCAGCUCUGGGAGUAAGACCUGGGAAACCGGGGUACCUAAUAACUGGAUAUGACUCCAUGACGCAUGUUGUGGGGUGGAAAGCCUUGUGCGGCUGAGGAUGGGCCCGGCCGGCCUAUCAGCUUGUUGGUGGGGGGA